AUUGAACGCUGGCGGCAUGCCUUACACAUGCAAGUCGAACGGCAGCACGGGAGCAAUCCUGGUGGCGAGUGGCGAACGGGUGAGUAAAGUAUCGGAACGUGCCCAGUCGUGGGGGAUAACGUAGCGAAAGUUACGCUAAUACCGCAUACGAUCUAUGGAUGAAAGCGGGGGAUCGCAAGACCUCGCGCGAUUGGAGCGGCCGAUAUCAGAUUAGGUAGUUGGUGGGGUAAAGGCCCACCAAGCCGACGAUCUGUAGCUGGUCUGAGAGGACGACCAGCCACACUGGACCUGGGACACGGCCCAGACUCCUACGGGAGGCAGCAGUGGGGAAUUUUGGACAAUGGGCGAAAGCCUGAUCCAGCCAUGCCGCGUGCAGGAUGAAGGCCUUCGGGUUGUAAACUGCUUUUGUACGGAACGAAAAGGACUGCCCUAAUACGGUGGUCCCAUGACGGUACCGUAAGAAUAAGCACCGGCUAACUACGUGCCAGCAGCCGCAGUAA
RNAcentral lists this ribosomal RNA (500 nucleotides) under uncultured bacterium. RNAcentral's name for it is "partial 16S ribosomal RNA". It matches the Rfam family "Bacterial small subunit ribosomal RNA", at positions 30 to 523 of the family's 1533-position model. The record is from RNAcentral.